GGUUAAGCGACUAAGCGUACACGGUGGAUGCCCUGGCAGUCAGAGGCGAUGAAGGACGUGCUAAUCUGCGAAAAGCGCCGGCGAGGUGAUAUGAACCUUUGACCCGGCGAUGUCCGAAUGGGGAAACCCAGUGCAAUUCGUUGCACUAUCGUUAACUGAAUACAUAGGUUAACGAGGCGAACCGGGGGAACUGAAACAUCUAAGUACCCCGAGGAAAAGAAAUCAACCGAGAUUCCCCCAGUAGCGGCGAGCGAACGGGGAGCAGCCCAGAGUCUGAAUCAGCUUGUGUGUUAGUGGAACGGUCUGGAAAGUCCGACGGUACAGGGUGAUAGUCCCGUACACGAAAAUGCACAGGCUGUGAACUCGAAGAGUAGGGCGGGACACGUGGUAUCCUGUCUGAAUAUGGGGGGACCAUCCUCCAAGGCUAAAUACUCCUGACUGACCGAUAGUGAACCAGUACCGUGAGGGAAAGGCGAAAAGAACCCCGGCGAGGGGAGUGAAAAAGAACCUGAAACCGUGUACGUACAAGCAGUGGGAGCACCUUCGUGGUGUGACUGCGUACCUUUUGUAUAAUGGGUCAGCGACUUAUAUUCUGUAGCAAGGUUAACCGUAUAGGGGAGCCGAAGGGAAACCGAGUCUUAACUGGGCGUUAAGUUGCAGGGUAUAGACCCGAAACCCGGUGAUCUAGCCAUGGGCAGGUUGAAGGUUGGGUAACACUAACUGGAGGACCGAACCGACUAAUGUUGAAAAAUUAGCGGAUGACUUGUGGCUGGGGGUGAAAGGCCAAUCAAACCGGGAGAUAGCUGGUUCUCCCCGAAAGCUAUUUAGGUAGCGCCUCGUGAACUCAUCUUCGGGGGUAGAGCACUGUUUCGGCUAGGGGGCCAUCCCGGCUUACCAACCCGAUGCAAACUACGAAUACCGAAGAAUGUUAUCACGGGAGACACACGGCGGGUGCUAACGUCCGUCGUGAAGAGGGAAACAACCCAGACCGCCAGCUAAGGUCCCAAAGUCAUGGUUAAGUGGGAAACGAUGUGGGAAGGCACAGACAGCCAGGAUGUUGGCUUAGAAGCAGCCAUCAUUUAAAGAAAGCGUAAUAGCUCACUGGUCGAGUCGGCCUGCGCGGAAGAUGUAACGGGGCUAAACCAUGCACCGAAGCUGCGGCAGCGACACUAUGUGUUGUUGGGUAGGGGAGCGUUCUGUAAGCCGUUGAAGGUGUCCUGUGAGGGGUGCUGGAGGUAUCAGAAGUGCGAAUGCUGACAUAAGUAACGAUAAUGCGGGUGAAAAGCCCGCACGCCGGAAGACCAAGGGUUCCUGUCCAACGUUAAUCGGGGCAGGGUGAGUCGACCCCUAAGGCGAGGCCGAAAGGCGUAGUCGAUGGGAAACAGGUUAAUAUUCCUGUACUUGGUGUUACUGCGAAGGGGGGACGGAGAAGGCUAUGUUAGCCGGGCGACGGUUGUCCCGGUUUAAGCAUGUAGGCGG
RNAcentral lists this ribosomal RNA (1479 nucleotides) under Enterobacter cloacae. Its description in RNAcentral is "partial 23S ribosomal RNA". It matches the Rfam family "Bacterial large subunit ribosomal RNA", at positions 1 to 1527 of the family's 2925-position model. Lineage: Bacteria; Pseudomonadati; Pseudomonadota; Gammaproteobacteria; Enterobacterales; Enterobacteriaceae. RNAcentral also lists the same sequence under 5 other names. The record is from RNAcentral.